Molecule: long non-coding RNA, 218 nt
Filed under: Ananas comosus (pineapple)
Lineage: Eukaryota; Viridiplantae; Streptophyta; Magnoliopsida; Poales; Bromeliaceae
Description: long non-coding RNA (ACOM_LNC039580)
Source: RNAcentral
AUACCCGGUAACUCAGCUGAAAACACAUCCCCGAAUUCUCGCACAACUGGGAUAUCUUCAAUCUUGACGUUUCCUCCGUCACUUACCGAAAUGCUAGCCAAAUAGGCUACACAACCUCUCCGAAUCAACUGUCGCGCUCGCGAAGAGCUAAUAGUCAUUGCGAAUAAUGAACUCUGACACCCCUUAUAAACAAACUCUUACUGACCCGGUUCCCUAAA